CUGCGUGGGAGCCCGCAUCCCUGCAGUUCCUCUGGGUUCGGACUCGGACUCCGGAGCCUGGUGCGGUGCAGCCUUCGCCCAGUUUUCUUGGUCUCGUCCGUCUGAGUCAAGGCCAAACCCAGGGCACAGGAAGGACUGUAAUUAGUGUUUGCCGAGUCAACGAGGGAAGGACCCUGCAACGUCACAGCCUUUAUCUAAUGGGGACGAGCAUCAGCUCAGACACUGCUAAGACGCCCCUCGUUAUCGGAAUGCAUCCUGAACGGAAAGCGGGCCAUGCUCAGGGUAACGAGAUGACACGUGCCCAGGCCAGCUCGUCACAGACUCCUGACACGUGACCUAGGAUCCACAGUCACACUCAGGCAAAUACGGCCCCGGAGUUCCUGCUGUGUUGUCACCUCGCGGGUGGCCCACAACCCGUGCCCCGUGUCAUCAGGGUCAUGCGCCUCGCCCGUGCGCAGUGUGCAGUGUGCAGUCCCCCACGGAGUGCACGUGCUAGGUGCCUGGUGGAUGAUUCCUGGACAAGCUCCUGAGAGGGACCAGCAGAGGCCUGACCGGAAGCCCUGACACCCACGCAGCCAUCACUGUGAGUCGUGGCCGUGGCAGCCCGGCCAGCGAAGGUGCCACAGGCUGACAAACUCCCUAGUGGGCCCUGCACACCAAGACCAAGCCCGAGGGUGCAGGUCCCCACCCCGAGAUAGAACCGGAGACGGGGAGGGUGCAGGGUGCUGAGAAGGGGAAAUGCAUGAACUCGAGGAAGUGGGUGAUUAGGAAACGAAGCUGAGCGGUGAAGGGAAGUCGGCUGAGGUGGACACAGGACUGGGCGCGUGAGCACACAGCAGACUCGCCCGGUGAGACUUCCCUCGCCCACCAGGGAGACAGCGCGGCCCGCUCCCCGCCCUGCCCCGGUUUAUACACAAAAAAACGCCGGAUGAAACGCAGACUACAAGCUGCAUCUGGCUAAGCUGGAACAGAAGGACCAUUUCAGAGUAAGGAACCAAAAGAAAACAGAACUACCAGGCCGAGCGCGAGCUGAAGCCACGGACCCUCGCUGUGGGCUGCUGGACCCCUCCAGGCGGUGGGAGUUGGUGCUGAGCUCCGUGAACGCUGGAGCCGCCAAGGAGCUGUCCAGCCCGCGAGCUCGGAGUCGGGCCCCCUGCCCAUCAGCACCGUGCUGGGGCACGAUAGGGAGCCAGGCCACGGCCCUGGGCUGCAGUAAAUGGCACCGUGGGGAACGCGAACUGCACGCCUGAUGGGACGGAAACGUGGGCCACCACACGGGGGCGGGAGUUGGGGGUGGGGGACACCGUCCCAUCAUCUCAGGCCUUCCCCACCCACGGCUGGCCUGGGCAGGGAGAUGACCUUCUGUGUAGCUAGUGAAUCAAGAUCGAACUUUACAUUUCUCCGCAAAGGGCUUGGAAACUGAGUUCUAACACUCCUGAGACCCCGUCGCAUCCAAAAGCAAAGUCCAGGAGAGAGAGCUACCUUGUGAGGAGAUCAGCAAACCGCGGUUUAUUGGCUUAAUCCACCGAGUUUUUUUGUAAAUUGAGGUAUAAUUAACAUAUAACACUAUAUUGGUCUCAGGUGUACAACAUAAUGAUUCGAUAUUUGUACAAAUUGCAAAAUGAUCGCCACAAUAAUUCUGGUUAACAUCUGCCCUCUGUUUUUGUAAAUGAAGUUUUAUCGGAACGUAGCCAAGCUCAUGGGUUUGUUUUACCUACCACAGAAACGGCACGGCCUGCAAACCCCAGACCUGCUUCUACGUGGCCCUUUGCAGAGUCCUCUAUGAGCCACACCGUGUCUUUUCCCACAGCCUGGAUUCAUGAGUUUCUACACUAUCUACUGAUACUGUCUAUCUCCACCUCAAAGCAUGGACUGGUAACUGUAACUGUAAUUAGCAAUUGUCCAGAUAAUGUGUUGCUCAGUCAAAAAAAAAAGUGAAAAAAGAAGAGUGA
Molecule: long non-coding RNA, 1952 nt
Organism: Pteropus alecto (black flying fox)
Lineage: Eukaryota; Metazoa; Chordata; Mammalia; Chiroptera; Pteropodidae
Exons: 2
Source: RefSeq, a predicted model, not a curated record